GACGAACGCUGGCGGCGUGCUUAACACAUGCAAGUCGAACGAUGACGACCGAGCUUGCUCAGUCUGAUUAGUGGCGAACGGGUGAGUAACACGUGAGCAACCUGCCCUUCACUCUGGGAUAACCUCGGGAAAUCGGGGCUAAUACCGGAUAUGAGCUCCUGUCGCAUGGCGGGUGUUGGAAAGUUUUUCGGUGAAGGAUGGGCUCGCGGCCUAUCAGUUUGUUGGUGAGGUAGUGGCUCACCAAGGCGAUGACGGGUAGCCGGCCUGAGAGGGCGACCGGCCACACUGGGACUGAGACACGGCCCAGACUCCUACGGGAGGCAGCAGUGGGGAAUAUUGCACAAUGGGCGAAAGCCUGAUGCAGCGACGCCGCGUGAGGGAUGACGGCCUUCGGGUUGUAAACCUCUUUCAGCAGGGAAGAAGCGAAAGUGACGGUACCUGCAGAAGAAGCGCCGGCUAACUACGUG
This 467-nucleotide ribosomal RNA is filed under the name uncultured bacterium. RNAcentral's name for it is "partial 16S ribosomal RNA". It matches the Rfam family "Bacterial small subunit ribosomal RNA", at positions 28 to 507 of the family's 1533-position model. The record is from RNAcentral.